Molecule: long non-coding RNA, 1949 nt
Organism: Homo sapiens (human)
Lineage: Eukaryota; Metazoa; Chordata; Mammalia; Primates; Hominidae
Gene: MEG3
Product: maternally expressed 3
Source: Ensembl
GCAGACGGCGGAGAGCAGAGAGGGAGCGCGCCUUGGCUCGCUGGCCUUGGCGGCGGCUCCUCAGGAGAGCUGGGGCGCCCACGAGAGGAUCCCUCACCCGGGUCUCUCCUCAGGGAUGACAUCAUCCGUCCACCUCCUUGUCUUCAAGGACCACCUCCUCUCCAUGCUGAGCUGCUGCCAAGGGGCCUGCUGCCCAUCUACACCUCACGAGGGCACUAGGAGCACGGUUUCCUGGAUCCCACCAACAUACAAAGCAGCCACUCACUGACCCCCAGGACCAGGAUGGCAAAGGAUGAAGAGGACCGGAACUGACCAGCCAGCUGUCCCUCUUACCUAAAGACUUAAACCAAUGCCCUAGUGAGGGGGCAUUGGGCAUUAAGCCCUGACCUUUGCUAUGCUCAUACUUUGACUCUAUGAGUACUUUCCUAUAAGUCUUUGCUUGUGUUCACCUGCUAGCAAACUGGAGUGUUUCCCUCCCCAAGGGGGUGUCAGUCUUUGUCGACUGACUCUGUCAUCACCCUUAUGAUGUCCUGAAUGGAAGGAUCCCUUUGGGAAAUUCUCAGGAGGGGGACCUGGGCCAAGGGCUUGGCCAGCAUCCUGCUGGCAACUCCAAGGCCCUGGGUGGGCUUCUGGAAUGAGCAUGCUACUGAAUCACCAAAGGCACGCCCGACCUCUCUGAAGAUCUUCCUAUCCUUUUCUGGGGGAAUGGGGUCGAUGAGAGCAACCUCCUAGGGUUGUUGUGAGAAUUAAAUGAGAUAAAAGAGGCCUCAGGCAGGAUCUGGCAUAGAGGAGGUGAUCAGCAAAUGUUUGUUGAAAAGGUUUGACAGGUCAGUCCCUUCCCACCCCUCUUGCUUGUCUUACUUGUCUUAUUUAUUCUCCAACAGCACUCCAGGCAGCCCUUGUCCACGGGCUCUCCUUGCAUCAGCCAAGCUUCUUGAAAGGCCUGUCUACACUUGCUGUCUUCCUUCCUCACCUCCAAUUUCCUCUUCAACCCACUGCUUCCUGACUCGCUCUACUCCGUGGAAGCACGCUCACAAAGGGCUAAUCUCGGGCCUUGUCGAAGGAAGAGGCUGCAGACGUUAAUGAGGUUAGCUGCUGGAUUCCAGUAUUCGUCGCAUAAGGAUCCUUCUUUGUCUGCGAAGGAAAAACACACUGAUUAUCAUAAUGAGUUCCUGACCUGGCCAUCCCGGGGUGCCCUUGACCAGCCCCGUGUCUCCUCAGGGUGUCCCAGCACCAGCCUGGCACAGAGUGGGGCUCAGUUAGAGUAUGUGGGAUGUUGGUUUCGCCAGCAGGUUCCCAGUGCCCCCGACAAGCCCCUGCUGGUGUCUCCAUCUCCUGCCAAGCAUCCUCCAGUGCCUCCUCCUGUGGGCCUGGCCUCAGGGCUAUGGACAGACUCCUGUCCCAUCCCAGAGACCCCUCGUGAUCGUGCCCUGGCACGUGGGCCGUGGCCCGGCUGGGUCGGCUGAAGAACUGCGGAUGGAAGCUGCGGAAGAGGCCCUGAUGGGGCCCACCAUCCCGGACCCAAGUCUUCUUCCUGGCGGGCCUCUCGUCUCCUUCCUGGUUUGGGCGGAAGCCAUCACCUGGAUGCCUACGUGGGAAGGGACCUCGAAUGUGGGACCCCAGCCCCUCUCCAGCUCGAAAUCCCUCCACAGCCACGGGGACACCCUGCACCUAUUCCCACGGGACAGGCUGGACCCAGAGACUCUGGACCCGGGGCCUCCCCUUGAGUAGAGACCCGCCCUCUGACUGAUGGACGCCGCUGACCUGGGGUCAGACCCGUGGGCUGGACCCCUGCCCACCCCGCAGGAACCCUGAGGCCUAGGGGAGCUGUUGAGCCUUCAGUGUCUGCAUGUGGGAAGUGGGCUCCUUCACCUACCUCACAGGGCUGUUGUGAGGGGCGCUGUGAUGCGGUUCCAAAGCACAGGGCUUGGCGCACCCCACUGUGCUCU